This 433-nucleotide ribosomal RNA is filed under the name uncultured bacterium. RNAcentral's name for it is "partial 16S ribosomal RNA". It matches the Rfam family "Bacterial small subunit ribosomal RNA", at positions 29 to 507 of the family's 1533-position model. The record is from RNAcentral.
AACGAACGCUGGCGGCAUGCCUAACACAUGCAAGUCGAACGAGACCUUCGGGUCUAGUGGCGCACGGGUGCGUAACGCGUGGGAACCUGCCCUUAGGUUCGGAAUAACUCCCCGAAAGGGGUGCUAAUACCGGAUAACGUCCUCGGACCAAAGAUUUAUCGUCUUUGGAUGGGCCCGCGUUGGAUUAGCUAGUUGGUAGGGUAAAAGCCUACCAAGGCGACGAUCCAUAGCUGGUCUGAGAGGAUGAUCAGCCACACUGGGACUGAGACACGGCCCAGACUCCUACGGGAGGCAGCAGUGGGGAAUAUUGGACAAUGGGCGAAAGCCGGAUCCAGCAAUGCCGCGUGAGUGAUGAAGGCCUUAGGGUUGUAAAGCUCUUUUACCCGGGAUGAUAAUGACAGUACCGGGAGAAUAAGCUCCGGCUAACUCCGUG